This 52-nucleotide small RNA is filed under the name Celeribacter marinus. Its description in RNAcentral is "ffh sRNA". It matches the Rfam family "ffh sRNA". The record is from Rfam by way of RNAcentral. Lineage: Bacteria; Pseudomonadati; Pseudomonadota; Alphaproteobacteria; Rhodobacterales; Roseobacteraceae.
ACGCGCCAGGAUCGCCCCCCGUCAGCGAGUUUCGCCCACGGGGGCCAAAAUC